This 496-nucleotide ribosomal RNA is filed under the name uncultured bacterium. RNAcentral's name for it is "bacterial SSU rRNA". It matches the Rfam family "Bacterial small subunit ribosomal RNA", at positions 15 to 507 of the family's 1533-position model. The record is from RNAcentral.
GAUCAUGGCUCAGAUUGAACGCUGGCGGAAUGCUUUACACAUGCAAGUCGAACGAUGAACCUUAGCUUGCUAGGGGGAUUAGUGGCGAACGGGUGAGUAAUAUAUCGGAACGUACCUUGUAAUGGGGGAUAACUAGUCGAAAGAUUAGCUAAUACCGCAUACGCCCUGAGGGGGAAAGCGGGGGAUCGAAAGACCUCGCGCGAUUAGAGCGGCCGAUGCCUGAUUAGCUUGUUGGUGGGGUAAAAGCCCACCAAGGCGACGAUCAGUAGCUGGUCUGAGAGGACGAUCAGCCACACUGGGACUGAGACACGGCCCAGACUCCUACGGGAGGCAGCAGUGGGGAAUUUUGGACAAUGGGGGAAACCCUGAUCCAGCAAUGCCGCGUGAGUGAAGAAGGCCUUCGGGUUGUAAAGCUCUUUUGUCAGGGAAGAAACACCGGCUCUAACACAGUCCGGGAAUGACGGUACCUGAAGAAUAAGCACCGGCUAACUACGUG